RNAcentral lists this ribosomal RNA (450 nucleotides) under uncultured organism. Its description in RNAcentral is "partial 16S ribosomal RNA". It matches the Rfam family "Bacterial small subunit ribosomal RNA", at positions 330 to 797 of the family's 1533-position model. The record is from RNAcentral.
CGUACACUCCUACGGGAGGCAGCAGUGGGGAAUAUAGGACAAUGGGCGCAAGCCUGAUCCAGCCAUGCCGCGUGAGUGAUGAAGGCCCUAGGGUUGUAAAGCUCUUUCACCGGUGAAGAUAAUGACGGUAACCGGAGAAGAAGCCCCGGCUAACUUCGUGCCAGCAGCCGCGGUAAUACGAAGGGGGCUAGCGUUGUUCGGAUUUACUGGGCGUAAAGCGCACGUAGGCGGACUAUUAAGUCAGGGGUGAAAUCCCGGGGCUCAACCCCGGAACUGCCUUUGAUACUGGUAGUCUUGAGUUCGAGAGAGGUGAGUGGAAUUCCGAGUGGAGAGGUGAAAUUCGUAGAUAUUCGGAGGAACACCAGUGGCGAAGGCGGCUCACUGGCUCGAUACUGACGCUGAGGUGCGAAAGCGUGGGGAGCAAACAGGAUUAGAAACCCUGGUAGUCCC